AGCUGGUCCAAGUGAAGUGGUGUUUACAACUAAUUGAUCACAACUAGUUACAGAUUCCUUUGUUCCUUCUCCAGUUCCACUGCUUCACUUGACUAGCCAAAA
RNAcentral lists this Y RNA (102 nucleotides) under Propithecus coquereli (Coquerel's sifaka). RNAcentral describes it as "Y RNA (ENSPCOG00000006716.1)". It matches the Rfam family "Y RNA". Rfam says of the family: Y RNAs are components of the Ro ribonucleoprotein particle (Ro RNP), in association with Ro60 and La proteins. The Y RNAs and Ro60 and La proteins are well conserved, but the function of the Ro RNP is not known. Lineage: Eukaryota; Metazoa; Chordata; Mammalia; Primates; Indriidae. The record is from Rfam by way of RNAcentral.